Molecule: ribosomal RNA, 497 nt
Filed under: uncultured bacterium
Lineage: Bacteria
Description: partial 16S ribosomal RNA
Rfam family: Bacterial small subunit ribosomal RNA
Source: RNAcentral
GAUGAACGCUGGCGGCGUGCCUAAUACAUGCAAGUCGAGCGAACAGACGAGGAGCUUGCUCCUCUGACGUUAUCGGCGGACGGGUGAGUAACACGUGGAUAACCUACCUAUAAGACUGGGAUAACUUCGGGAAACCGGAUCUAAUACCGGAUAAUAUAUUGAACCGCAUGGUUCAAUAGUUAAAGACGGUUUUGCUUUCACUAAUAGAUGGAUCCGCGCCGCAUUAGCUAGUUGGUAAGGUAACGGCUUACCAACGCAACGAUGGGUAGCCGACCUGAGAGGGUGAUCGGCCACACUGGAUCUGAGACACGGUCCAGACUCCGACAGGAGGCAGCAGUCGGGAAUCUUACGCGAUGCGCGAGAGCCUGACAGAGCAAAGCCGCGUGAGUGAUGAAGGUCUUAGGAUCGUAGAACUAUGUUAUUAGGGAAGAUGAAAAGUGUAAGUAACUAUGCUCGUCUUGACGGUACCUAAUGAGAAAGCCACGGCUAACUCCGUG